GAACGCGAAGAACCUUACCCGGGCUUGAAUUGCAGAGGAAGGAUUUAGAGAUAAUGACGCCCUUCGGGGUCUCCGUGAAGGUGCUGCAUGGUUGUCGUCAGCUCGUGCCGUGAGGUGUCGGCUUAAGUGCCAUAACGAGCGCAACCCCUCUCUUCAGUUGCCAUCAGGUAAUGCUGGGCACUCUGGAGACACUGCCACCGUAAGGUGUGAGGAAGGUGGGGAUGACGUCAAAUCAGCACGGCCCUUACGUCCGGGGCUACACACGUGUUACAAUGGCCGGUACAGAGGGACGGUGUAAUGCAAAUUGCAUCCAAUCUUGAAAGCCGGUCCCAGUUCGGACUGGGGUCUGCAACCCGACCCCACGAAGCUGGAUUCGCUAGUAAUCGCGCAUCAGCCAUGGCGCGGUGAAUACGUUCCCGGGUCUUGUACACACC
This 434-nucleotide ribosomal RNA is filed under the name uncultured bacterium. RNAcentral's name for it is "bacterial SSU rRNA". It matches the Rfam family "Bacterial small subunit ribosomal RNA", at positions 957 to 1391 of the family's 1533-position model. The record is from RNAcentral.